GCCAGUCUGCAUGGAGCCGACCUUGAAAUACCACCCUUUAAUGUUUGAUGUUCUAACGUGGACCCGUAAUCCGGGUUGCGGACAGUGUCUGGUGGGUAGUUUGACUGGGGCGGUCUCCUCCUAAAGAGUAACGGAGGAGCACGAAGGUUGGCUAAUCCUGGUCGGACAUCAGGAGGUUAGUGCAAUGGCAUAAGCCAGCUUGACUGCGAGCGUGACGGCGCGAGCAGGUGCGAAAGCAGGUCAUAGUGAUCCGGUGGUUCUGAAUGGAAGGGCCAUCGCUCAACGGAUAAAAGGUACUCCGGGGAUAACAGGCUGAUACCGCCCAAGAGUUCAUAUCGACGGCGGUGUUUGGCACCUCGAUGUCGGCUCAUCACAUCCUGGGGCUGAAGUAGGUCCCAAGGGUAUGGCUGUUCGCCAUUUAAAGUGGUACGCGAGCUGGGUUUAGAACGUCGUGAGACAGUUCGGUCCCUAUCUGCCGUGGGCGCUGGAGAACUGAGGGGGGCUGCUCCUAGUACGAGAGGACCGGAGUGGACGCAUCACUGGUGUUCGGGUUGUCAUGCCAAUGGCACUGCCCGGUAGCUAAAUGCGGAAGAGAUAAGUGCUGAAAGCAUCUAAGCACGAAACUUGCCCCGA
Molecule: ribosomal RNA, 633 nt
Filed under: Salmonella enterica
Lineage: Bacteria; Pseudomonadati; Pseudomonadota; Gammaproteobacteria; Enterobacterales; Enterobacteriaceae
Also listed under: 6 other names
Description: partial 23S ribosomal RNA
Rfam family: Bacterial large subunit ribosomal RNA
Source: RNAcentral